GGCGCGCGAUACAGGGUGACAGCCCCGUACACAAAAAUGCACAUGCUGUGAGCUCGAUGAGUAGGGCGGGACACGUGGUAUCCUGUCUGAAUAUGGGGGGACCAUCCUCCAAGGCUAAAUACUCCUGACUGACCGAUAGUGAACCAGUACCGUGAGGGAAAGGCGAAAAGAACCCCGGCGAGGGGAGUGAAAAAGAACCUGAAACCGUGUACGUACAAGCAGUGGGAGCACGCUUCGGCGUGUGACUGCGUACCUUUUGUAUAAUGGGUCAGCGACUUAUAUUCUGUAGCAAGGUUAACCGAAUAGGGGAGCCGAAGGGAAACCGAGUCUUAACUGGGCGUUAAGUUGCAGGGUAUAGACCCGAAACCCGGUGAUCUAGCCAUGGGCAGGUUGAAGGUUGGGUAACACUAACUGGAGGACCGAACCGACUAAUGUUGAAAAAUUAGCGGAUGACUUGUGGCUGGGGGUGAAAGGCCAAUCAAACCGGGAGAUAGCUGGUUCUCCCCGAAAGCUAUUUAGGUAGCGCCUCGUGAAUUCAUCUCCGGGGGUAGAGCACUGUUUCGGCAAGGGGGUCAUCCCGACUUACCAACCCGAUGCAAACUGCGAAUACCGGAGAAUGUUAUCACGGGAGACACACGGCGGGUGCUAACGUCCGUCGUGAAGAGGGAAACAACCCAGACCGCCAGCUAAGGUCCCAAAGUCAUGGUUAAGUGGGAAACGAUGUGGGAAGGCCCAGACAGCCAGGAUGUUGGCUUAGAAGCAGCCAUCAUUUAAAGAAAGCGUAAUAGCUCACUGGUCGAGUCGGCCUGCGCGGAAGAUGUAACGGGGCUAAACCAUGCACCGAAGCUGCGGCAGCGACGCUUAUGCGUUGUUGGGUAGGGGAGCGUUCUGUAAGCCUGUGAAGGUGUGCUGUGAGGCAUGCUGGAGGUAUCAGAAGUGCGAAUGCUGACAUAAGUAACGAUAAAGCGGGUGAAAAGCCCGCUCGCCGGAAGACCAAGGGUUCCUGUCCAACGUUAAUCGGGGCAGGGUGAGUCGACCCCUAAGGCGAGGCCGAAAGGCGUAGUCGAUGGGAAACAGGUUAAUAUUCCUGUACUUGGUGUUACUGCGAAGGGGGGACGGAGAAGGCUAUGUUGGCCGGGCGACGGUUGUCCCGGUUUAAGCGUGUAGGCUGGUUUUCCAGGCAAAUCCGGAAAAUCAAGGCUGAGGCGUGAUGACGAGGCACUACGGUGCUGAAGCAACAAAUGCCCUGCUUCCAGGAAAAGCCUCUAAGCAUCAGGUAACAUCAAAUCGUACCCCAAACCGACACAGGUGGUCAGGUAGAGAAUACCAAGGCGCUUGAGAGAACUCGGGUGAAGGAACUAGGCAAAAUGGUGCCGUAACUUCGGGAGAAGGCACGCUGAUAUGUAGGUGAAGUCCCUCGCGGAUGGAGCUGAAAUCAGUCGAAGAUACCAGCUGGCUGCAACUGUUUAUUAAAAACACAGCACUGUGCAAACACGAAAGUGGACGUAUACGGUGUGACGCCUGCCCGGUGCCGGAAGGUUAAUUGAUGGGGUCAGCGCAAGCGAAGCUCUUGAUCGAAGCCCCGGUAAACGGCGGCCGUAACUAUAACGGUCCUAAGGUAGCGAAAUUCCUUGUCGGGUAAGUUCCGACCUGCACGAAUGGCGUAAUGAUGGCCAGGCUGUCUCCACCCGAGACUCAGUGAAAUUGAACUCGCUGUGAAGAUGCAGUGUACCCGCGGCAAGACGGAAAGACCCCGUGAACCUUUACUAUAGCUUGACACUGAACAUUGAGCCUUGAUGUGUAGGAUAGGUGGGAGGCUUUGAAGUGUGGACGCCAGUCUGCAUGGAGCCGACCUUGAAAUACCACCCUUUAAUGUUUGAUGUUCUAACGUUGACCCGUAAUCCGGGUUGCGGACAGUGUCUGGUGGGUAGUUUGACUGGGGCGGUCUCCUCCUAAAGAGUAACGGAGGAGCACGAAGGUUGGCUAAUCCUGGUCGGACAUCAGGAGGUUAGUGCAAUGGCAUAAGCCAGCUUGACUGCGAGCGUGACGGCGCGAGCAGGUGCGAAAGCAGGUCAUAGUGAUCCGGUGGUUCUGAAUGGAAGGGCCAUCGCUCAACGGAUAAAAGGUACUCCGGGGAUAACAGGCUGAUACCGCCCAAGAGUUCAUAUCGACGGCGGUGUUUGGCACCUCGAUGUCGGCUCAUCACAUCCUGGGGCUGAAGUAGGUCCCAAGGGUAUGGCUGUUCGCCAUUUAAAGUGGUACGCGAGCUGGGUUUAGAACGUCGUGAGACAGUUCGGUCCCUAUCUGCCGUGGGCGCUGGAGAACUGAGGGGGGCUGCUCCUAGUACGAGAGGACCGGAGUGGACGCAUCACUGGUGUUCGGGUUGUCAUGCCAAUGGCACUGCCCGGUAGCUAAAUGCGGAAGAGAUAAGUGCUGAAAGCAUCUAAGCACGAAACUUGCC
This 2461-nucleotide ribosomal RNA is filed under the name Escherichia coli. Its description in RNAcentral is "partial 23S ribosomal RNA". It matches the Rfam family "Bacterial large subunit ribosomal RNA", at positions 349 to 2798 of the family's 2925-position model. Lineage: Bacteria; Pseudomonadati; Pseudomonadota; Gammaproteobacteria; Enterobacterales; Enterobacteriaceae. The record is from RNAcentral.